GACGAACGCUGGCGGCGUGCUUAACACAUGCAAGUCGAACGAUGAAAGCUGGAGCUUGCUUUAGCUGGAUUAGUGGCGAACGGGUGAGUAACACGUGAGCAAUCUGCCCCUGACUCUGGGAUAACUUCGAGAAAUCGAAGCUAAUACCGGAUACGACCCUUCCAGGCAUCUGGUGAGGGUGGAAAGAACUUCGGUCAGGGAUGAGCUCGCGGCCUAUCAGCUAGUUGGUGAGGUAAUGGCUCACCAAGGCGACGACGGGUAGCCGGCCUGAGAGGGUGACCGGCCACACUGGGACUGAGACACGGCCCAGACUCCUACGGGAGGCAGCAGUGGGGAAUAUUGCACAAUGGGCGCAAGCCUGAUGCAGCAACGCCGCGUGAGGGACGAAGGCCUUCGGGUUGUAAACCUCUUUUGGCAGGGAAGAAGCGAAAGUGACGGUACCUGCAGAAAAAGCGCCGGCUAACUACGUG
Molecule: ribosomal RNA, 470 nt
Filed under: uncultured bacterium
Lineage: Bacteria
Description: bacterial SSU rRNA
Rfam family: Bacterial small subunit ribosomal RNA
Source: RNAcentral